RNAcentral lists this long non-coding RNA (585 nucleotides) under Brassica napus (rape). RNAcentral's name for it is "long non-coding RNA (BNAP_LNC006753)". Lineage: Eukaryota; Viridiplantae; Streptophyta; Magnoliopsida; Brassicales; Brassicaceae. The record is from RNAcentral.
UCAAAUACAUAACUCUAAACCCAAAUAUAAAUUCUAAACCCAAAUAGAAUGAAAUAAAAUAAAUAAUAUGGUAUAUAUUGGUAAAAUUAUGAAAUGUCUAUAAUUUCGUAGAAGAAGUUGAUGUUGAUCCCAACUAUACCUCCUCAUCUUCUAAAUACUAAAGCCUAAACUAUAUUCACUAAUCCCUAAACUCAAAUAUAAACCAUAAACCCAAAUAGAAUGUAACAAAAUAAAUAGCAUGGUAUAUAUUGGUGAAAUUAUGAAAUAUCUAUGAUUUCAUGGAAAAGGUUAAUGUGACCCAACUGUACCCAACUAUACCCUAAACUUUAAUCCCUAAACCCUAAAUAUAAACCCUACACGGAAAUAUAAACCCUAAUCCAAUGUCAACCCCAAUCUUUCAUAAACUAAACCCGAAUGGAACAAAAUGAUGAAAUAUCUAUGAUUUCAUGGAAGAAGUUAAUGCUGAUCCCCCAACCAUAUCCCCUCACCUUCUAAAUACUAAACCCUAAAUUAUAUUCACUAAACCCUAAACCAAAAUAUAAACCCUAAACCCAAAUAUAAAUCCUAAACCCAAAUAUCAAAGUC